GAGUUUGAUCUUGGCUCAGGAUGAACGCUAGCGGGAGGCUUAACACAUGCAAGUCGAGGGGCAUCACGGGGUAGCAAUACUCUGGUGGCGACCGGCGCACGGGUGAGUAACGCGUAUGUAACCUGUCCUUUACAGGAGGAUAACCCGGAGAAAUUCGGACUAAUACUGCAUAAUAUUAUUUUAAGGCAUCUUAGAAUAAUUAAAACUACGGUGGUAAAGGAGGGGCAUGCGUAACAUUAGCUGGUUGGUAGGGUAACGGCCUACCAAGGCAAUGAUGUUUAGGGGACCUGAGAGGGUGACCCCCCACACUGGUACUGAGACACGGACCAGACUCCUACGGGAGGCAGCAGUGAGGAAUAUUGGUCAAUGGGCGAGAGCCUGAACCAGCCAUCCCGCGUGAAGGAAGAAGGCGCUAUGCGUUGUAAACUUCUUUUUCAGGGGGAUAAAAUUCUGUAUGUAUAUGGAACUGAAGGUACCCUGAGAAUAAGCAUCGGCUAACUCCGUGCCAGCAGCCGCGGUAAUACGGAGGAUGCGAGCGUUAUCCGGAUUUAUUGGGUUUAAAGGGUGCGUAGGCGGAAUAAUAAGUCAGUGGUGGAACCCUGCAGCUUAACUGUAGACUUGCCAUUGAUACUGUUUUUCUUGAGUAUGGUCAAGGCAGGCGGAAUGUGUAAUGUAGCGGUGAAAUGCUUAGAUAUUACACAGAACACCGAUAGCGAAGGCAGCUUGCUGGGCCGUUACUGACGCUGAUGCACGAAAGCGUGGGGAUCGAACAGGAUUAGAUACCCUGGUAGUCCACGCCGUAAACGAUGAUCACUAGCUGUUGGCGAUACACCGAUCAGCGGCAAAGCAAAAGCAUUAAGUGGUCCACCUGGGGAGUACGGCCGCAAGGCUGAAACUCAAAGGAAUUGACGGGGGCCCGCACAAGCGGAGGAACAUGUGGUUUAAUUCGAUGAUACGCGAGGAACCUUACCUGGGCUUAAAUGUAGAGUGCAUUGAGAGGAAACUUUCAUUUUCUUCGGAACUCUUUACAAGGUGCUGCAUGGUUGUCGUCAGCUCGUGCCGUGAGGUGUCGGGUUAAGUCCCAUAACGAGCGCAACCCUUAUCGUUAGUUGCCAGCGGGUAAUGCCGGGAACUCUAGCGAAACUGCCGGUGUAAACCGAGAGGAAGGUGGGGAUGACGUCAAAUCAGCACGGCCCUUAUGUCCAGGGCUACACACGUGUUACAAUGGCCGGUACAGAGGGCAGCUACCUGGAGACAGGAUGCGAAUCUCGAAAGCCGGUCUCAGUUCGGAUCGGAGUCUGCAACCCGACUCCGUGAAGCUGGAUUCGCUAGUAAUCGCGCAUCAGCCAUGGCGCGGUGAAUACGUUCCCGGGCCUUGUACACACCGCCCGUCAAGCCAUGGAAGUUGGGGGUACCUGAAGUCCGUAACCGCAAGGAGCGGCCUAGGGUAAAACCAGUGACUGGGGCUAAGUCGUAACAAGGUAACCGUA
This 1490-nucleotide ribosomal RNA is filed under the name uncultured Cytophagales bacterium. RNAcentral's name for it is "bacterial SSU rRNA". It matches the Rfam family "Bacterial small subunit ribosomal RNA". Lineage: Bacteria; Pseudomonadati; Bacteroidota; Sphingobacteriia; Sphingobacteriales. The record is from RNAcentral.